RNAcentral lists this ribosomal RNA (316 nucleotides) under Platyophrya macrostoma. RNAcentral's name for it is "partial Bacterial small subunit ribosomal RNA". It matches the Rfam family "Bacterial small subunit ribosomal RNA", at positions 343 to 676 of the family's 1533-position model. Lineage: Eukaryota; Ciliophora; Colpodea; Cyrtolophosidida; Platyophryidae. The record is from RNAcentral.
GGGAGGCAGCAGUGGGGAAUAUUGGACAAUGGGCGAAAGCCUGAUCCAGCCAUGCCGCGUGAGUGAUGAAGGCCUUAGGGUUGUAAAGCUCUUUCAGUGGGGAAGAUAAUGACGGUACCCACAGAAGAAGCCCCGGCUAACUUCGUGCCAGCAGCCGCGGUAAUACGAAGGGGGCUAGCGUUGUUCGGAUUUACUGGGCGUAAAGCGCACGUAGGCGGUUUGUUAAGUCAGAGGUGAAAUCCCGGAGCUCAACUCCGGAACUGCCUUUGAUACUGGCAAGCUAGAGUCCGGAAGAGGUGAGUGGAACUCCUAGUGU